AUGGGCAUUGGCCUCAAUUUUAGCAAGUCAUCCUCCACCCUUGUUAGUGCAUUCUCUGACUCAGAUUGGGCAGGAUGUUUGGAUGAUAGAUGCUCCACUGGUGGUUUUGCAGUGUUCCUUGGAUCUAAUUUGAUCUCUUGGUGUGCUAGAAAACAAGCUACUGUUUCAAGGUCCAGCACAGAAGCAGAGUAUAAGGCACUAGCUAAUGCUACUGCAGAGAUUAUAUGGGUACAAUCCAUUCUUAAGGAGCUUGGUGUGAAAACCACUCAAGCUCCAUGUCUGUGGUGUGACAAUUUAGGUGCAACUUAUCUCUCAGCAAAUCCAGUUUUUCAUGCAAGAACGAAACAUAUUGAGAUAGAUUUCCAUUUUGUCAGAGAAAGAGUUGCUAGUAAACUCCUAGACAUUCGGUUUAUACAUUCUCAAGACCAGAUUGCAGAUGGGUUUACUAAAGCCUUGCCCAUACGAAGCUUUGAGAACUUCAAGUAUAAUCUUAACUUGAUGAAGUUGUGA
Molecule: ribosomal RNA, 510 nt
Filed under: Triticum aestivum (bread wheat)
Lineage: Eukaryota; Viridiplantae; Streptophyta; Magnoliopsida; Poales; Poaceae
Description: partial small subunit ribosomal RNA
Source: RNAcentral